GCAACUUUGGCCGAGUUGGUUAAGGCGCCAGACUCAAGAGUUUUCCUCUUUCACUAAUUUAUGUGUGAGCAUUCUGGUCACGAAAGUGGCGUGGGUUCGAAUCCCACAGGUUGCA
Molecule: transfer RNA, 115 nt
Filed under: Penicillium griseofulvum
Lineage: Eukaryota; Fungi; Ascomycota; Eurotiomycetes; Eurotiales; Aspergillaceae
Rfam family: tRNA
About the family: Transfer RNA (tRNA) molecules are approximately 80 nucleotides in length. Their secondary structure includes four short double-helical elements and three loops (D, anti-codon, and T loops).
Source: Rfam by way of RNAcentral